GUGCCCUUGUAAGGUACAAGGAUACAAUUUUUUAAGGAGCUGCACAGAAGAGGUAAAUAAGCAUCCAUAAAACUCACAGAAGAGAUUAUCAAACUCCUAUUUGGAUCCUGUCUGAAGUCACAGCU
Molecule: small nucleolar RNA, 125 nt
Organism: Dipodomys ordii (Ord's kangaroo rat)
Lineage: Eukaryota; Metazoa; Chordata; Mammalia; Rodentia; Heteromyidae
Source: Ensembl